Molecule: unclassified non-coding RNA, 328 nt
Filed under: soil metagenome
Description: partial contains 5.8S ribosomal RNA, internal transcribed spacer 2, and large subunit ribosomal RNA
Rfam family: 5.8S ribosomal RNA (bases 1-120)
Source: RNAcentral
GAUGAAGAACGCAGCGAAAUGCGAUAAGUAAUGUGAAUUGCAGAAUUCAGUGAAUCAUCGAAUCUUUGAACGCACAUUGCGCCCCUUGGUAUUCCGAGGGGCAUGCCUGUUCGAGCGUCAUUAUAACCCUCAAGCUCAGCUUGGUGUUGGGGCCUGCUGCACUGGCAGCCCUUAAAAUCAGUGGCGGCGCCAUCUGGCUCUAAGCGUAGUAAUUCUUCUCGCUAUGGAGUCCUGGUGGAUGCUUACCAUCAACCCCCAAUUUUUCUAUGGUUGACCUCGGAUCAGGUAGGGAUACCCGCUGAACUUAAGCAUAUCAAUAAGCGGAGGA